UCUUAGUGGUUGUGGUUUUGCACAUGUGCCAAAUUUGUUUACUGCAUCGUUCAGCAGUUUCAGUGGUCUCCCAGACAUGGCAACGCCAGACCCUUAACUCACUGAACAAAGCCAGGAAUCAAACCCACAUCCUCAUGGAUCCUAGUUGGGUUUGUUACUGCUGAGCUAUGACCGGAACUCCUGCAAUGCGUUUUUUGCCUCAGUAGAAGAAGAGCGAAAGAGGAAGCCAAGACUUUAAAAAGGAUGCUUGAAGCAGCUGAAAGCUCCACCCACCCCAAACAGGUGAAAGUCACAGAGCUUCCUCCAGUCCCUCCUUUCCUGUGAGAAGAAUAAUUGGAGAAGAAGGCAAACAAAUCAAGACAUAUGAUCUUCCUAGGCAGACUUCCUAUCUUCCAUGAGACCAGACCUCACCAACUCAAAUGCCUACAGAAGCCAGACAGGCCAGUGGGAGUGGACAGAGUGGGUAUGAAAUCCUAAGAGUGGGGGGGGUCGUGUGGCCAACUCAGAAGCGUAUGCACAGCCCUCCCGACUUCCCCAUCUGUUCACUUCCAGCCACUUGUUAAAUAGAAACUCAGGUCCGGAGUGUCCAGAACUUUGGGUUUUUUUGUUUUUUUUUUUUUUUUUUUUUCAUGAGGCUCCCAAAGUCUGGCUAUUUUAAUGUGAAAUCUCCCAAUUUGUAAAUGUUGGCAACUAAUUAAAAACAUUUCAAAACAACGUGAAGGCCAAAGAAAACAUGUCCAGGGGCCAGCUGUGGCCUGUGAGCCCUGGUGUGCGACCUGUGUGACAGGCUGCAGAGCUAUUGCAAUUCCCUAAGAUAGUUGGGGUACAUAAAGGAGGAGCCAGAAAUGGCCUAGCCUCUUGGCUUCAGAUGGACGUUUAACAACCUGCAAGAAGGAAAGGUGGGUCCCUGCGGAAACCCUGGGCAAGCAGCCAGCACUGGUUGGCCCAGGCCUUUUGGACUGACAAUUGUUUCACUUUGUCCAAGAAAUAAUCUCCUUGGAAUAAGUUAGCAGAUAGACGUGGAGGUCUCAUUUAAAGAGCGUGCUGGCCUGAAGAGAUGAAUCAGAAGUCCACGUGUUUCCACUCAAGAGCAAGAAGGUACGAAAGCCAGUGGGGCUGAGAUGCCAGGUCCCAGUUUUUCCAGGGAGGAAAGGAGGACGAUGGGAAAUUGAUGAGGGAUGCACUGUUAUUUGGGUGAUAGAGAAGUGGGGUCGGGGGAAGAGGCACAAUGAGCAGCCUGGACCCUGGGGAGCCAGAGUGGCCCCCACGGUAGAUGCUGGUAGACGCGGUCAGAGCCCGCCUCCCCCAGCGCCUAUCUUUUCAAGUCACUACUCAGGUUCAACCAGCCCGAACUGUUCAAAAGAACACAAAUAGUGAGGCUGCCUCUUUCUCUCUGAAGCUACAGUCCUUGAACAACGGUCCCCACGAGGACAUGCUGGGAAUGCUUGGGGGAGCACUGCGAUGGAGUCCUGGAACAGCAAAGGAGAAGGCCAUGUGCACAGAGCUGAAAAACAAUAUUCACUAAUUUACAACUAUUAAUUAAAAGCCCUGUCACCAAGCCAAGCACUCCAGCGUGAUUUUAAUAUUCUCCGUCCCCUCACCCCCAAGGUCGUUUCCAACUUCUCCAAGGAGGGGGUUGCAGAGAAUACGCAGAGGAAAUGCACGGAGCCUGGGCAAGCCGGCUGGGGAGCAGACGCCUUGGGCCUUUGGGUUUGCACUAACUAUCCUGCCUCCUCAGAGCUGAGACAAUGCCUUGCAUUCACUAGCAUCUCAGAGCUCCGGUGCUCUGCUGAGGAGCAGGAAAAAAAAAAAAAAAAAAAAAAAAA
This is a non-coding RNA of Sus scrofa (pig), 1826 nucleotides long. NCBI's taxonomy places the organism in Eukaryota, Metazoa, Chordata, Mammalia, Artiodactyla, Suidae. The record is from RefSeq and is a predicted model, not a curated record.